Long non-coding RNA from Medicago truncatula (barrel medic), 804 nucleotides. RefSeq lists it as uncharacterized. The record is from RefSeq and is a predicted model, not a curated record. The transcript is spliced from 2 exons. NCBI's taxonomy places the organism in Eukaryota, Viridiplantae, Streptophyta, Magnoliopsida, Fabales, Fabaceae.
CUUAUGUCAAUUUUCAGAAUUUUUUUAAAAAUCUCUCACUAUGCCUGAAGAGUCAAGACAGUUAUUGAAUUAGCGAAUCUCAUUUAAUUAUCAUGAAUUGGGUUGCCUUUUAAUUAAUUAGGAGCUAUAUUUUUGUUCAUCGUCUUGCCUUGCCGUCACUAACAAAUAUGAAGCCUCCUCCUAUAUGUUGGUCACAACUCAGUCCCCUCCUCUGACCUUCUCAUUCUAAGUUUACAUUCCCCACCUUUUGUAGAAAGUAAUAGAAGAAUAAAAGAAAAGAACCAUUUUCGUUUUUACUGAACCUGUCUAUGGAGAAUUGUGACUGCACUUUCGUUUACCAUUUGAUUGGGCUAAUUUUUAGACAGAGUGUUCACAACAUGUGGUUCUUCGUUUUCAACAGUCCGAUCGUCAACAUGAUGUCUAGAAUGAGAGAAAUUGUGGUUACAGUACAACCACGAGUUUGAGGCUUAAAGUAGUGCUAAGGAAGUAGAGCGUAUAAGAGGUACCAAAGGAGAUAUGAUGUGUGCUUGAUGUUUUGCUUGAAGCGUGUACGCGGGGGAAACAAAUCCGGGGCGUUACAUAUACAUUUGAAAAUGACAUGCUCUUCCCUAAGCCUAUACAAACCUUAUCUCAGCAUUGAUAGUUAUAUAAACACACAUUUAUCUCAUCAAACUUCAGGGAUUACAUUGACAACAUUAAAUGUCAUAAAUAAGUCAAUUUUUCCUAAAAAAAAAAAUCAAUUACAAUCAUUAUGUAACUUUUAAUACUUUUAAUUUUUAUUUAAUUAUAGCCAUGAUUACAUUA